This 596-nucleotide ribosomal RNA is filed under the name uncultured bacterium. Its description in RNAcentral is "bacterial SSU rRNA". It matches the Rfam family "Bacterial small subunit ribosomal RNA", at positions 338 to 916 of the family's 1533-position model. The record is from RNAcentral.
CCUACGGGAGGCAGCAGUGGGGAAUAUUGGACAAUGGGCGCAAGCCUGAUCCAGCCAUACCGCGUGUGUGAAGAAGGCCUUUUGGUUGUAAAGCACUUUAAGCGAGGAGGAGGCUCUUGAGGAUAAUACCCUUGAUGAGUGGACGUUACUCGCAGAAUAAGCACCGGCUAACUCUGUGCCAGCAGCCGCGGUAAUACAGAGGGUGCGAGCGUUAAUCGGAAUUACUGGGCGUAAAGCGCGCGUAGGCGGCUUGUUAAGUCGGAUGUGAAAUCCCCGGGCUCAACCUGGGCACUGCAUUCGAUACUGGCAAGCUAGAGUAUGGGAGAGGAAGGUAGAAUUCCAGGUGUAGCGGUGAAAUGCGUAGAGAUCUGGAGGAAUACCGAUGGCGAAGGCAGCCUUCUGGCCUAAUACUGACGCUGAGGUGCGAAAGCAGUGGGGANCAAACAGGAUUAGAUACCCUGGUAGUCCAUGCCGUAAACGAUGUACAACUAGCCGUUGGGGACCUUGAGUUCUUUAGUGGCGCGAGCUAACGCGAUAAGUUGACCCGCGUGGGGAGUACGGUCGCGAAGACUAAAACGCAAAGUGAAAGUUGACGG